RNAcentral lists this long non-coding RNA (1398 nucleotides) under Felis catus (domestic cat). RNAcentral describes it as "lncRNA (ENSFCAG00000052018.1)". The record is from RNAcentral. Lineage: Eukaryota; Metazoa; Chordata; Mammalia; Carnivora; Felidae.
GGCACAGUGCCAGGUUCUAGGACCCGAGCCAUCCGCGCCGACUGCCCCUGUCGGAGCCUCGGUCUCCCCAUCUGCAGUAUGGGUGCGCCAGCCCCUGUGAGGCCCAACUCCCAGGAGCGCAAGGAGCCCUGGCGUCCCCAGGCUGACGGCCCCACGCGGGGGGGUGAAAGAGCAAGGAUGAUAAUGCCGGUGAAGCAUGAAGAAGACAUUGUUGUGCGUCCAAAUCCUUCUUAGGAAAAGUAUAUUUGGCUAAAAAGAGAAAUCCGCGGAGUGACGAGAGCCAGUAACGCAAAGCCUCCCGUUGCCCCUUGGGUUUCAUCUUCGACUGCCCUGCGGCCAUUCUCGCUGCACCCGCCACCGCUUCCUGACUUGUCAAGGUCACCGGCAAGCCUCACGCUGCCUCGUCUCAGGACCACGUCUCUGCUGGGAGGUACGUGCCACGGGGAACCACAGCCCCUUCUUCUGGAAACACUAUGACUCCGUGACACCGGCCUGCCUGCCCUCCCAUCUGUCCGGCUCACCUGCCUCAGUGUCCCUUGCUGAAUUCCCACCCUGGCCCCCGAGGACUCAGGCCACUUCUUCUUGGAUGGGAGACACCUCUUUCCUCUCCAGAGCUCAUCAGCCGCCGUGGCUAUUUUUAACAGUUUCAUUGAGAUAUAAUUGACAUAGGAUAAACUGAACAUAUUUCAAGCGACAUAUUUAAAGACAUAAUUAAAGUGAUGAUUUGAGAAGUCUUGACAUAUGUAUGCAUUCGUGAGACCGUCACCACAAUCAGGAUAAUGAAAGUAGCCAUCAUCCCCCCAAUUUCCCUCCUGCUUCUUUGUCAUGUACUCCAAAAGCCCGCCCCCUCCUCCCCAGGCAACCACAGGUCUGCUUUCUGUCACUACAAAAGUUAACUUACAUUUUCUACAAUGUUAGGUCAAUGGAAUCAAAGGGGACAUUCUCUCUCUCUCUCUGUCUCUCGGUUUUGCCUGGUUUCUUUCACUUAGCCCCGUUCUUUUUAGACUCAUUCAUUCUCAUGUGUAUAUCAAGAGUUCAUUCAUUUUUUUUUUAAUUUUUUUUUUAACGUUUAUUUAUUUUUGAGACAGAGAGAGACAGGGCAUGAACGGGGAAGGGGCAGAGAGAGAGGGAGACACAGAAUCGGAAACAGGCUCCAGGCUCUGAGCCAUCAGCCCAGAGCCCGAUGCGGGGCUCGAACUCACGGACCGCGAGAUCGUGACGUGAGCUGAAGUCGGACGCUUAACCGACUGCGCCACCCAGGUGCCCCGUUCAUUCAUUUUUAAAAUGGAGUAGUAUUCUAUUGCAUGGGUCUACAAUUCAUCUGGCCAUGUUUCUGUCGAUGGACAUUUCGGUGGCUUUGUUUCAAGCAAUUACAAAUAAAACAGCUAUGAACAUUCA